AUGAACGGAGCAAGGGUGAGUUUGGGGAAGAAGAAAUUGAGAUCUACGAUAGAAGAAGGUGCCACAUUGAAGAACCCACUAACAAGAAGAGGAGAUGUUUAUGGAUUUAUUCAAAUGGAAAUAAAAAAUGGAGCAACAGUUGUUGGAUGCAUCAAGCACUGUAUAUGGCCUGCUAGCAAUGAGGUAUGGAGAACUACAGGGUCUUAA
This is a non-coding RNA of Vicia faba (fava bean), 207 nucleotides long. Lineage: Eukaryota; Viridiplantae; Streptophyta; Magnoliopsida; Fabales; Fabaceae. The record is from the annotation of a GenBank genome assembly.